Molecule: long non-coding RNA, 606 nt
Organism: Micropterus dolomieu (smallmouth bass)
Lineage: Eukaryota; Metazoa; Chordata; Actinopteri; Centrarchiformes; Centrarchidae
Exons: 2
Source: RefSeq, a predicted model, not a curated record
GAAACCAUGCAAGCAAAUGAUUGGCCCCAGUGUGGUGGUGUAAAUUGAGAAAAGAAGAGGCCCUAGCCAUGAGCCUUUGGACACCCCAGUGGAGAGGCAGUGAGAGGAGGAAAUGUGUCUUUGCCAAGACACAUUGUAGGAAAUCCCAGAGAGGGCAGAGUUGUGGGCUGCAUCUCUGGUAGCUGGGCGUUUCUCCCCAGCUGCAGGCAAUCGGCGUUUCACACACCUGUCUCCUGUGAUCAUCAGGACUGGUUUAUACCCUGCCAUCUCCUCAGUUCCCCGCCGGAUUAUUACGUCUUGUUUGUAGGUAACGCUACGACCUGCUUAACCUGCCUCCUGUUACCCCGUACCAGUUUUUGACUCUGUUUUUCCUUGUGCCCUGCUUUGGUGUUUUGGAGACCCUGCUCUGCUCUUGUGUCGCUCAGUCACAGAGAAAGCCUGGCUGGAGAUUUCACCACCGCAGUCUCACUUUUCUGUCAGCCCUGUUACCUGCCUUGCCUGGCCCUGGCACUUACCUGCCCCGCGACAUCGGAGGAACCUUACUCCCAGCAUCGAGCCUAUCAAACCAUAUCUUGUGUUCAAUAAACCGUGUGAAUAUCCUUUUAA